CGCAAUUUAUGUUAAUUAAAAAUAUGUAAAAUUAAAGCUGAUCGGAGUAUUUUCGUUAAGAUGCAGUUUAAAUUUAAAAGUAGCAUGUAAGGUGUGAUCAAAGAGAAACUGUGCGCGGGUAUAAUUUGUUUAUUUGGAUACUUCAAAAUUAUCUAAAGAAAAAGAGAAGUGUGAAUGGCAUUUUACCAGAGACAUACGUGCAGAGGCAUAUGAAAAGGUUGAACAAUUUGUCGCCGAAAAAAUAGUUAAUCAAGAGCAGUCUUUUUUUUGAAAUUUUUAAAUGACAUGUUUAUAAAUUAUUAUUAAAUUAUGUUUAAAGAAUAAUGAUACACCGGCUUCAAAUACUAUAUGUAAACCUUAUCAUUUAUAAGAAAGAUUGCUAAAAAAAUUUUCCAAAGAAAUCAACUUUUAAAGGCGAAAGUCUCGUUAAACCUUAUAAGGGCAUAAUGAUUAAAAAAGAAGUUCACAAGCAUGAAGUUUUAGAUGCAGCGGCGCGUAUUUUAAACGAAGAAAUACUUAAAUUCAAAUGUAAUAAGAUUCCAGCUAAUGAGGUGAAAACAAAACAUUUGAUAGAGGGUGAAGUACCUGAACUAGUUAGCAAAUUUUAUGAAAAAGUAAUUGCAGGCGCUAAUUACCGACGACGACAACAUACAAGGACCGUCACAUUAGCAAAAUCAUUUUCAGAAGAUGUAAUAUAUGCCGUUUUCAACGGUAGAGGAAAAUUAUCUAAACAAAUCUGUCUUGGCUUAACGUUGAAGAGCUUGACUAACAGCAAAAAAAUUAUAAAUAUAGUUCAUCGGUACGGGCAUUGCUGUAGCUAUAGUAUAUUAGAAGGUCUCGAAACCAAGUCAACAUUUACAUCUUGCGAGAGCACCGAUAUUUGCCCGGAUGGUAUCGUGCGAUUACCUGGCUUACUCACUGGAGUUGCGUACGACAACUAUGAUCGCUUUGUAGAUACGACUGGGGGUAAGGACACGCUCCACGACACCGUUGGCAUCAUUUUUCAAAAUGAAAGCGAGGAAGCUGAUGAUAGCGAAAAUAUUGAGGAAAAUGUCAGUGAGAGCAUCGAUGACGUGUCUGCUUCAAAACUAGUUAAACAUAGACGGAGUUUUGACAUGAUCAGCCACGAACUACAGCCGUACACGAAGCGACCACGAAUUAUUGAAAGUAUGCUGCCACUUGACUCACCAUUGCGCUUAAACACUCCAAAUCUUCAAUCAGUGAAUCAUAUAAAUUUUGCAUGGAUGCUUUCGCACUACUUUAAUAUGCAAGGUACAGCGAUGUGUGUCGGUUUUAAUAGUUUGUUGCAUGAAGAUACAUACCCUAAGCAAGUUAUUUGUUAUUUAACGACAAUUCAUUCUUCACCAACAAAUAAGGCUGUUGUAUUGCAGACUAUGCAUCAAAGCAAAGCAGUGGCUAAUGAGUGCGGAGAAGAUUACAUGCAAGUAACGUACGAUCUUGCAAUUGCAAAAAUAGCUCUACAAAUUCAAAGCACUGAGAAAGAAGUGUUUGAUAAUUUAUUUAUUCACCUUGGUGCUUUCCAUAUUAUGAUGGCGUAUUUUAAGGCAGUGGGUAAGUUUAUUGAUAACUGUGGCUUAACAAACAUCAUGGUGAAUGCAGAUAUGCUUGCCAACGGAUCGGUGAACGGUUUUAUUGCUGGCAAACAUUUCAACAGGUGUAAGCGCUUGCACCCAAUAACAGCGUUGGCGUUCAAAAUGUUACACUUUGAAAAGUUUGUCGAACAAGAGAAUAUAGAAUUAACCCACGAAUUAACAAAUUUGCUACAGUUUUUAAAAAGAAAAUCGCGCGAACAUGCAUUCAAAGAGCCUGUAUUGACAAAUUUGCUUGAAAAGUAUGAACUUUUUAGAAAGCAAACAAUAGAAGGCAAGCACGGUAAAACAGCACAGAUUUACAUGUAGUAUGUGCAAUUUAUCGAUUAUUAUUUAUUACUCAAUGCAAGCAUCCGCACAGGUAAUUUCGAUAUAUUUAAAUUCGUUUUACCGAAAAUAAAUAAUUUGUUUUUUGCUUUCAAUCAGCCAAAUUAUUCACGAUAUUUAGUGAAAUAUCACGAUAAUUUGUUGAAAGUAGAUGAGUCACAUCCAGGAUUGCGUCUGCAAUUUGAGAAGAACUCAAUCGGUGUUAAAAGGACGAUGAAACCUUUCUCUAGACAACCGAUUUAUCUGACUCUCGAACAGACUAUAAUUGCUGAUGCUGCGAAUAAGUUGACAGGAAUUUCACAUAUAACUAAUUCAAUAUCUGCUAGACAGCGUUGGUGCAGGAGUCAUACGAUACGAUCGAACAUUAUUAGUCAUACAAUGGAACAAACGGGGCUGAGAAAAGCUCAGGAUAUAACAGCCGAUCUACAAAAAAGCCGAAUAAAACAUAAUUCAACGCAGCUCCACGGAUUUAUUGAUGGAAUCAAACGUACCGUGAAUUCGUUUGCCAACAAUCUAGAUAAUAAUUAUUUAUAUAACAUUUCUACUGGCGAAGCAGCGCCCGAACAUGUAGAAAAUUUCUUACUCAAUGCUGGAAAAAAGGGAAACGACAAACGAGAAGCUUUCAUACAAAUUUGCGUAGAUGAUCCAAAUAAGUUCGAGCAGGCUAUUUCGCAGUCAAAGUAUUAUACUUUUAGUGACACUGUUAUUAAGAAAAAAGUUUCGGUUGCUGGAAAAGAGGUAGAACUGCGAAUGCAGCCCGAUUUAUUUGGCCAGCUUCUUCAUAUUUCUUUGAAAAAAGAACUCACUUUAGAAAAGGUUCUAGCUUAUCCGUUAACAAUAUUUCAAAGAAAGUACUGCAGACAAUAUGUACGAGUAGAGCAAAAAUUGUCGUAAUUGCCUUUGAUCAAUACAUUUUUCCAACGAUCAAAGAUACUGAACACAAGCUCCGAGGUAUGGUACAAGCAAACUUUCAUAUCGAUGGUCCUGAUCAACUGCGGAAAAAGGAGUUAUUAGUUGAACUAAAAAAUAUAAAUUUUAAACAAGCACUCGUUAAAUUUUUUAUUGAUAAUUGGGCAGAAGACAUUAAUGACAAAACUAUUUAUGUAAAUUCAGGCGCUUGUUUUAAGUUUACUGUCAAGGACGGUAAAGUAGUGAGAACUUUGGAUGAAAAACUUACGUGUCCUGCUCAUGAAGAAGCCGACACAAAGAUGAUUUUUCAUAUUUGCCAACUAGAUUUCGAUGCAAAAGUAACAAUUCGUUGUUCCGACACCGACGUCUUGAUUAUCAUGUUAGCCAAUAUGAGUAAAAUUUCGAAAAAUAUUCAAGUACGCAUGGAAGUCAGCGUUGGCAAUCAUCAACGAUUUAUUAAUGUAUCGAAAUUGUACGAUGCUCUAGGAAGAAAUGUAAGCGAAGCACUACCAGCCUUUCAUGCGCUCACAGGAUGUGAUUUUAAUCCGGCCUUUUUUAGAAAAGGCAAAAAGCGCCCGUUUAUCAUCAUGCGUAUAUUUACUGACUUUACCGAGAGCUUUAUUCAGAUGUCAACGCCAUCGGACAAUAGAGAAGAAACUUUUGCCAAGAUAGAGCAGUUUAUUUGUAAAAUGUAUGGGUUCAAAUCGCUGAAAAACAUUAACGACGUACGAUUAGCAACAUUUCAAAAAACGUACAAACACAUCGAUAACGAUGACGUUUUCCAUUUGCCCAAGAAAAGUAUUGAUGGUUCGGCCUUACCAUCAUGCAAAGCGGAACUCUACCAACAUUUUUUGAGAGCGUGUUAUGUAGCGCAAAUGUGGGCGCACGCACACCUACAAGUUCCCAUUGCUGAGCCUCCAACAAAUUAUGGCUGGAUAGAGAUCGAAAACAAGUACGGCUUUUCUUGGUUUUCUGGGAGCCAGUUAUCAACGACCAUCACCGAAAUAACGAUUCAACCCGAAGAAGAUGAUAAUGAUUAAAAUCUAAGGGCGGAAUCUGACAGUGACUCUGACAGUGAAUUCGGGGAUGGUGGAAGUAGCAGGAGUCAAAGCGAAGAUGAAAUAGAAUAUCAGCUGUUUUUUUGAAUAAACGAUGAUAAUACAUCAAGUAUUGAUUAAUAUAUUAAUUAAUACAUAUUACUUUAUUUUUCGAGUUUUAUUUCUUCCUUUAUAAAUUGAAAUCCAGUUAGAAUAUUUAUUCAAUCCGUAAUAUACGCGUCCCAUCCAAUUUACGCAUAUUAUCAACGUUCCGAGUAACUUUAGUUAACUUAUUUCAUCCCGAUUGAAAUAUUAUCAGAUAAUAGUCGACAUAGUAGCUGAAGUAAUCAAAUAAAUCAGCUUGCUGUA
RNA transcript from Nasonia vitripennis (jewel wasp), 4252 nucleotides. RefSeq lists it as uncharacterized. Lineage: Eukaryota; Metazoa; Arthropoda; Insecta; Hymenoptera; Pteromalidae. The transcript is spliced from 2 exons. The record is from RefSeq and is a predicted model, not a curated record.